GAUGAACGCUGGCGGCGUGCUUAACACAUGCAAGUCGAACGAAGCAUUUGCGACAGAUUUUUUCGGAAUGAAGUUGCUUAUGACUGAGUGGCGGACGGGUGAGUAACGCGUGGGUAACCUGCCUUGUACUGGGGGAUAGCAGCUGGAAACGGCUGGUAAUACCGCAUAAGCGCACAAUGUUGCAUGACAUGGUGUGAAAAACUCCGGUGGUAUAAGAUGGACCCGCGUCUGAUUAGCUAGUUGGUGAGAUAACAGCCCACCAAGGCGACGAUCAGUAGCCGACCUGAGAGGGUGACCGGCCACAUUGGGACUGAGACACGGCCCAGACUCCUACGGGAGGCAGCAGUGGGGAAUAUUGCACAAUGGAGGAAACUCUGAUGCGGCGACGCCGCGUGAGUGAAGAAGUAAUUCGUUAUGUGAAGCUCUAUCAGCAGGGAAGAUAGUGACGGUACCUGACUAAGAAGCUCCGGCUAAAUACGUG
This 481-nucleotide ribosomal RNA is filed under the name uncultured bacterium. RNAcentral's name for it is "partial 16S ribosomal RNA". It matches the Rfam family "Bacterial small subunit ribosomal RNA", at positions 28 to 507 of the family's 1533-position model. The record is from RNAcentral.